RNAcentral lists this transfer RNA (78 nucleotides) under Candidatus Eiseniibacteriota bacterium. RNAcentral's name for it is "tRNA-Glu". It matches the Rfam family "tRNA". From Rfam's summary of the family: Transfer RNA (tRNA) molecules are approximately 80 nucleotides in length. Their secondary structure includes four short double-helical elements and three loops (D, anti-codon, and T loops). Lineage: Bacteria; Candidatus Eiseniibacteriota. The record is from RNAcentral.
GUCCCCAUCGUCUAGGCCGGCCUAGGACACCGCCCUUUCACGGCGGCAACACGGGUUCGAAUCCCGUUGGGGACGCCA